This 74-nucleotide transfer RNA is filed under the name Verrucomicrobiota bacterium. Its description in RNAcentral is "Verrucomicrobia bacterium tRNA-Gly". It matches the Rfam family "tRNA". From Rfam's summary of the family: Transfer RNA (tRNA) molecules are approximately 80 nucleotides in length. Their secondary structure includes four short double-helical elements and three loops (D, anti-codon, and T loops). Further hydrogen bonds mediate the characteristic L-shaped molecular structure. tRNAs have two regions of fundamental functional importance: the anti-codon, which is responsible for specific mRNA codon recognition, and the 3' end, to which the tRNAs corresponding amino acid is attached (by aminoacyl-tRNA synthetases). tRNAs cope with the degeneracy of the genetic code in two manners: having more than one tRNA (with a specific anti-codon) for a particular amino acid; and 'wobble' base-pairing, i.e. permitting non-standard base-pairing at the 3rd anti-codon position. Lineage: Bacteria; Pseudomonadati; Verrucomicrobiota. The record is from RNAcentral.
GCGGGUGUAACAUAGUGGUAAUGUGCCAGCUUCCCAAGCUGGUUAGGAGGGUUCGAUUCCCUUCACCCGCUCCA